Molecule: ribosomal RNA, 253 nt
Filed under: uncultured bacterium
Lineage: Bacteria
Description: partial 16S ribosomal RNA
Rfam family: Bacterial small subunit ribosomal RNA
Source: RNAcentral
UACGUAGGGUGCGAGCGUUGUCCGGAAUUAUUGGGCGUAAAGGGCUCGUAGGCGGUUUGUCGCGUCGGGAGUGAAAUCCACUGGCUUAACUGGUGGCUUGCUUUCGAUACGGGCAGACUGGAGGUAUGCAGGGGAGAACGGAAUUCCUGGUGUAGCGGUGAAAUGCGCAGAUAUCAGGAGGAACACCGGUGGCGAAGGCGGGUUGCUGGGCUGAUACUGACGCUGAGGCGCGAAAGCCAGGGGAGCGAACGGG